AAAAUGAUGAUGAAGGGAAGAGUACAUUUAACGAAACUUUCAGAGAGUCGGGGGGCUGAGAAACCGGCAGUAUAGUUAUUUGGAAGAACAUCCUGGAGUAGUUAACCCAAAUCUAAUUUUGAAAUUUGGAAAGUAGGCUUAAACGGCUGUCCACCGUUAAAAGGAAUAAGUAUCGGUAAGUUUUAAAGUUAUUAAAAGCAACUUUUAUUUAUAGAAUUUACCCGUACCGAGUUUGAGAUGGCUUCGGCUAAUUAGGGUGGCACCGCGAAUAUAUCCGCCCCUAUA
RNAcentral lists this non-coding RNA (285 nucleotides) under Clostridium sp. RNAcentral describes it as "T-box sequence". It matches the Rfam family "T-box leader". Rfam says of the family: Uncharged tRNA acts as the effector for transcription antitermination of genes in the T-box leader family. Lineage: Bacteria; Bacillati; Bacillota; Clostridia; Eubacteriales; Clostridiaceae. The record is from RNAcentral.